Molecule: ribosomal RNA, 296 nt
Filed under: uncultured Desulfocapsa sp.
Lineage: Bacteria; Pseudomonadati; Thermodesulfobacteriota; Desulfobulbia; Desulfobulbales; Desulfocapsaceae
Description: partial 16S ribosomal RNA
Rfam family: Bacterial small subunit ribosomal RNA
Source: RNAcentral
UCCCGCAACGAGCGCAACCCUUGUCUUUAGUUGCCAUCAUUUAGUUGGGCACUCUAAAGAGACUGCCGGUGUCAAACCGGAGGAAGGUGGGGAUGACGUCAAGUCCUCAUGGCCUUUAUGACCAGGGCUACACACGUACUACAAUGGCCGGUACAAAGGGCAGCCACUUAGCGAUAAGGAGCCAAUCCCGUAAAGCCGGUCUCAGUCCGGAUUGGAGUCUGCAACUCGACUCCAUGAAGUUGGAAUCGCUAGUAAUCGCAGAUCAGCACGCUGCGGUGAAUACGUUCCCGGGCCUU